CCGGUUCACAAUUGCAUACGUUUGGAGUCGUCGUAAAAACACCCUUAAGAACGAUGUAAAAUUGCAAAUAUGUCAGGAUUUACAUCGAUCUUGGGGUGAAAAACAACUUCGGUUUUUUCGAAGUAAAACUUUACGCCCUUCCUUCAUCGAGGGAAAUAGGCGAGGAGUUUACCCUCGUCCACCACCAGCACGAUGCAGUCGAGUAAUGGCGACUUCCGAGUCAAGUUUACCCUCAUCUGAGCGUCUGUUUGAGUGUUCGAGGCUCUAGAUAUUUUCCCAUUCAAGUCGUUGGCGACUUCUACAUUCGAUCUGAGUGUUUGUGUAUCUAAAUCUGCAUCAAUAGCCAAGGAAUAGACGCUGAUGCUGAUCUGCGUCGAUUUGAGUUUACCCUCUCCAGUCCACUCAUUCUACUAUUCUAGUGCUGAUCUGCAACUAUCUCUCUCCGACAGGCGACAGCUUUCUCUCUGACAUUUUUCUCUCCUGUGGCUUUCUCUUUCCAAUGGCUAUCUCUCUUCUGCGAACUGUGUUCAAUCAUCCAAAGACACAAAAUCAUUGUAAUAGCUUUGGAGGCUCAGUGUCAGUACACGUGGAUGGGACCCCACUAGUUGAAUGGUGUAGAUGAAGUCAUUUGCCAGCCAAUGACUUCAGCUUCAGCUUCAAAAGUACUGGUGACGUCUGUACACCAGCACUUCAGCAAGACAACUGGACACUGGUGUCAUGGGCUCAUGGCCCACUUUUGAAUGAAUUCAACAUCGACAGUCUGUUGGAUUUUUGAGAGACGUCACCAGCACUUUUGAGUGUACACAAGUGUUCUGACAGACCAGCACUUUUGAAGGGAACUGUAAUUUUUUGUAAAAAAAUGAGAUGUUAAUUUGCAUCCUUAUAAAAUAUCCAAACAAUCACAAAUUAACACUCUUGUUUUGCGCCAAUAGUUGCCAAACAAGAAGAGUGUAAAUUAAAGGUAAAAUUCGGUCCACAAUUGCAUGCA
Molecule: non-coding RNA, 988 nt
Organism: Nelumbo nucifera (sacred lotus)
Lineage: Eukaryota; Viridiplantae; Streptophyta; Magnoliopsida; Proteales; Nelumbonaceae
Source: RefSeq, a predicted model, not a curated record